CAGAUCGGAAAUAGCUAACACUACAUUAAAGGGGGACUAUUCUUUGUAACAACGCCAUUGUUGAUAGAGUGAUGAUGACGUUUAGUGUCGUUUUCUACAGACUUGCUGCCGACAAAACUGUUUGUUAAACAUUUUACAUCUGUCUCGAAUGUCUUUAUUCUUUUGUAUUCGUCAAAAUAACAAAAUGAAGGCAGUUCACGUAUUUCUCUGGUACUUUGUUUCCAUGCAAUUUCUGUCACUUUAAACACAUCCAGCGGGACCACCUUCAACAAAGCUUAAUUGAAAAAUAGCUCUCAUUAAGUCACUUGUGUUUGCUUGCAACAGCAUCAAGCCCUCACGGGUAUUGAAUGGAAAGAUCGAAUGUGUACUUAGGAAAUUAUCCCAGGUGAAAACUCGUAUCGGGUACAGUGAAGCUGAACAGUAAUAAAAAUCGCUCGUAUCCUGUUGUCAACAAACGAAAUAAAAAUAUUUAAAAAAAAUAAUAAUCAUUACUUCGAUUUAAAUAAAUUAUCUAAAUAUUUCACAAGAAGUAGAACGCAAUUUGUA
Long non-coding RNA from Mytilus trossulus (common blue mussel), 546 nucleotides. RefSeq lists it as uncharacterized. The transcript has 3 exons. Lineage: Eukaryota; Metazoa; Mollusca; Bivalvia; Mytilida; Mytilidae. The record is from RefSeq and is a predicted model, not a curated record.